Molecule: ribosomal RNA, 253 nt
Filed under: uncultured bacterium
Lineage: Bacteria
Description: partial 16S ribosomal RNA
Rfam family: Bacterial small subunit ribosomal RNA
Source: RNAcentral
UACGGAGGGGGCUAGCGUUGUUCGGAAUUACUGGGCGUAAAGCGUACGUAGGCGGACUUUUAAGUAAGAGGUGAAAUCCCCAGGCUCAACCUGGGAACUGCCUUUUAAACUGGAAGUCUAGAGUUAUGGAGAGGUAAGUGGAAUUCCUAGUGUAGAGGUGAAAUUCGUAGAUAUUAGGAGGAACACCAGAGGCGAAGGCGGCUUACUGGACAUAUACUGACGCUGAGGUACGAAAGUGUGGGGAGCAAACAGG